This is a non-coding RNA of Ipomoea triloba (trilobed morning glory), 75 nucleotides long. The record is from the annotation of a RefSeq genome assembly. NCBI's taxonomy places the organism in Eukaryota, Viridiplantae, Streptophyta, Magnoliopsida, Solanales, Convolvulaceae.
GGAUCCGUGGCGCAAUGGUAGCGUGUCUGACUCCAGAUCAGAAGGUUGCGUGUUCGAUUCACGUACUUGGGUUCA